UAGAGUUAUCACAAUUCCCAACCCAUGUGAACAUACCUAUUGUUGCCUCGGCAGGUCGCAGGCUGCUGGGAAAGGCCCCCCUAGCUUGGGAGGCCUACCCGGGAGCUGCGGUCAAGCCUGCCGGCGGCCCGCAAAACUCUGUUUAGCAUUGAAAUUCUGAAUCAUAACUAAAUAAGUUA
RNAcentral lists this unclassified non-coding RNA (179 nucleotides) under uncultured Ascomycota. Its description in RNAcentral is "sequence contains ITS1". The record is from RNAcentral. Lineage: Eukaryota; Fungi; Ascomycota.